This 477-nucleotide ribosomal RNA is filed under the name uncultured bacterium. RNAcentral describes it as "bacterial SSU rRNA". It matches the Rfam family "Bacterial small subunit ribosomal RNA", at positions 29 to 507 of the family's 1533-position model. The record is from RNAcentral.
AUUGAACGCUGGCGGCAUGCCUAACACAUGCAAGUCGAACGGGGGCAGCAAUGCCCUAGUGGCGGACGGGUGAGGAAUACGUAGGAACCGGCCCACGAGUGGGGGACAACCUGGGGAAACCCAGGCUAAUACCGCAUACGCUCGCGAGAGGAAAGCGGGGGACCUUCGGGCCUCGCGCUGGUGGACGGGCCUACGUCCGAUUAGCUAGUUGGUGGGGUAAAAGCCUACCAAGGCGACGAUCGGUAGCUGGUCUGAGAGGAUGAUCAGCCACACUGGGACUGAGACACGGCCCAGACUCCUACGGGAGGCAGCAGUGGGGAAUAUUGGACAAUGGGCGCAAGCCUGAUCCAGCAAUGCCGCGUGGGUGAAGAAGGCCUGCGGGUUGUAAAGCCCUUUAAGCCGGGGAGGAAAGCCGGGGGUGUGGAAUAGCGCCUCGGGGUGACGUUACCCGCAGAAUAAGCACCAGCUAACUCCGUG